UCGGGACAGAGAGAGCGGCGUACGGGUGCGUAACACGUGUGCAACCUACCUUUAUCAGGAGGAUAGCCUUUCGAAAGGAAGAUUAAUACUCCAUAAUAUAUUAGAUGGCAUCAUUUAAUAUUGAAAACUCCGGUGGAUAGAGAUGGGCACGCGCAAGAUUAGAUAGUUGGUGAGGUAACGGCUCACCAAGUCAUUGAUCUUUAGGGGUCCUGAGAGGGAGAUCCCCCACACUGGUACUGAGACACGGACCAGACUCCUACGGGAGGCAGCAGUGAGGAAUAUUGGACAAUGGGUGAGAGCCUGAUCCAGCCAUCCCGCGUGAAGGAUGACGGUCCUACGGAUUGUAAACUUCUUUUGUAUAGGGAUAAACCCAGAUACGUGUAUCUGGCUGAAGGUACUAUACGAAUAAGCACCGGCUAACUCCGUGCCAGCAGCCGCGGUAAUACGGAGGGUGCAAGCGUUAUCCGGAUUUAUUGGGUUUAAAGGGUCCGCAGGCGGGCCGAUAAGUCAGUGGUGAAAUCUCAUAGCUUAACUAUGAAACUGCCAUUGAUACUGUCGGUCUUGAGUAAAUUAGAGGUAGCUGGAAUAAGUAGUGUAGCGGUGAAAUGCAUAGAUAUUACUUAGAACACCAAUUGCGAAGGCAGGUUACCAUGAUUUAACUGAC
RNAcentral lists this ribosomal RNA (664 nucleotides) under Kaistella antarctica. RNAcentral describes it as "bacterial SSU rRNA". It matches the Rfam family "Bacterial small subunit ribosomal RNA", at positions 81 to 744 of the family's 1533-position model. The record is from RNAcentral. Lineage: Bacteria; Pseudomonadati; Bacteroidota; Flavobacteriia; Flavobacteriales; Weeksellaceae.